This 75-nucleotide transfer RNA is filed under the name Cytospora mali. RNAcentral describes it as "tRNA-Val (AAC) (tRNA-Val-AAC-4-1, tRNA-Val-AAC-5-1)". Lineage: Eukaryota; Fungi; Ascomycota; Sordariomycetes; Diaporthales; Cytosporaceae. The record is from RNAcentral.
GGUCCGGUGGUGUAGUUGGUUUAUCACGUCAGUCUAACACACUGAAGGUCCGCGGUUCGAGCCCGCGCCAGAUCA